CAAACUCUUUAUCUCCAACAGAUAACUGGGCUUCCGAGUAUCAGCAACAGUAUAGUGGAGGUCUUCCCUGGGCUGAUGAAUUUGUUUCUAAUCAAACUAAUCGGUGGGCUGAUGAGUUUGCUGAAGAGAAGAGACAUGUGUCAGAUGAUCCAUGGGUAAAUGAAUUUUCCAAGUUGCACAUGCAAGACUGGGUGGAAGAAUUUGGUCAGCAGGUUGGAGAAGGGGCUUCUGGAGAGGUCGACAAUUGGGCAAAUGCAUAUGAUGAGUAUGUAAAUGAACAAGUAGCUGCCAAGGGUAAAACGGAUGCUUCAAAGGGAAUCUAUGUCUUUUCUGAUAUGAACCCAUAUGUUGGUCAUCCUAAUCCCUUGAAGGAAG
RNAcentral lists this unclassified non-coding RNA (375 nucleotides) under Hevea brasiliensis (rubber tree). The record is from RNAcentral. Lineage: Eukaryota; Viridiplantae; Streptophyta; Magnoliopsida; Malpighiales; Euphorbiaceae.